AUUUAUAUAGUUUAAUUAAAAACAUUACAUUUUCACUGUAAAAAUAAAAAUUUAUUUUUAUAAAUA
This 66-nucleotide transfer RNA is filed under the name Aedes busckii. RNAcentral describes it as "tRNA-Glu". The record is from RNAcentral. Lineage: Eukaryota; Metazoa; Arthropoda; Insecta; Diptera; Culicidae.